CAAAGUCAACCUGCUGUGGACCUCCAUACCACCGGGGGCGAUAGAGAGCAUCCUGCCUCUUCUGGACAGAGUCUCCCAACUCAGUGUUGACAGGAAGUUACUGUUGAGUUUCCUCCAGUGCUGUGCUGCCUCUCAGAUCCAGCAAGGGGCACCAUCACCACCAACAGCAGUAUGGCUGCUCAGGUCUCUGCACUACAGGCUGGACUUCUCCUGCUCCUCCUCUGUGGACCUGUCAGCUCAGGACCAGGGGGAGGCUCUGUGUCUGACCACUGACCACUGCAGGGCCAUCAGCUCUGUUCUGAAGCAGAACCAACACAGCACCCAGCUGGUCCAGAACCAGGUCCAGCUCAUCCUAAGAGACUGUGAGGUGGAGGACAGAGCACUGAGAGAGCUGCUUCCCAUCCUGCAUAUUGUCAAGCUGAGCCCCAGCAAAGCUCUGCUACUUCAGCUGCUGGACCUUGUGUGUGAGGGGAUUGAAGAGGGGCUGCUGAGGCACACAGAGUCCCUGUGCAGAGCCCUGGAUGGGGAGCUGGACCUCAGUGAGACCAGGCUGGACCAGAAGGCCUGUGGAUCUCUGGCCCUGGUUCUGGAACACUCAGAGGGUCUGUCAGAACUGGACCUCAGCCACUGUCAACUCACAGACCACCACCUACAGCCCCUGAUCACACACCUGCAUAAAGUACAAGUCCUGGACCUGAGUCACAAUGACAUCACUGAUGCUCUGACUGACAGAAUACUCCAACUGGUCUCUACCAACACUUCAAUACACACCGUACGACUCUUCAACAACAGAAUCAUGAACAGCACCGCUUUCCUCACAGACAAGAGGUUUGAGAUUGGAAUAAACAUCAGGUCUUAGUCCAGGAAGAGGAAGAGAUGGCUGUUAGGUCUUAGUCCAGGAAGAGGAAGAGAUGGCUGUUAGGUCUUAGUCCAGGAAGAGGAAGAGAUGGCUGUUAGGUCUUAGUCCAGGAAGAGGAAGAGAUGGCUGUUAGGUCUUAGUCCAGGAAGAGGAAGAGAUGGCUGUUAGGUCUUAGUCCAGGAAGAGGAAGAGAUGGCUGUUAGGUCUUAGUCCAGGAAGAGGAAGACAUGGCUGUUAGGUCUUAGUCCAGGAAGAGGAAGACAUGGCUGUUAGGUCUUAGUCCAAAUCAAAAUAAAAUGUUAUUGGUCACCUACACAUGGUUAGCAGAUGUUAUUGCGAGUGUAGUGAAAUGCUUAUGCUUCUAGAUCUGCCAGGGCAGCAGUAUCUAACAGGUAAUAUCUAACAAUUUCACAACAAAACCUAAUACACACAGUCUAGUAAAGGAAUGAGAUGAGAAUAUAUAAAUAUAUAAUAUAUGGAUGAGCAGUGACAGAGCAGCUAAGAUGCAAUAGAUAGUAAAGAAUAGAUAGUGAAGGAUACAGUAUAUACAUAUGAGAUGAGUAAUGUGAGAUAUGUAAACAUUCUUAAUAAAAUCAACUAUAUGUACUGAACUGGUCUGAUGCUUUAAGCAAGCUGUUUGAUUAAAUAAUGAAGACACAGAAAUGACUCGAGGGAGCCAGAGAUCAACAUAGCCUUACAAGAAGAAAAAACCCUCUUCCUUAGCCUACUCCUCCCGCUGCUGCUGGCCUUUGUACAUUCUGACGUUAUGCUCCUAAAGUUUCUGAUAAUAGGCUACACCAGCAGUCGGCAACCUUUUCCAAUUUAUCUGACCAUUUCUACUGAUCUGGUGCCAGUUAGGAUUUUCAUAUUCACAUUUUACUGGAACAGUUUCAUUUAAUUUAUAGUCGUCUUUGUAUCUCAACAUCAUUCUGUGGUUAAUCUAUAUUCUAUCUAAAUGAAAAUGAUACAAAUAUAAAAUAAAUGUUUAUUGCCAUUGCUAACUAUGUAAUAAUAGUCCACAUAAAGCCAAAACAUUUAAACAUUGCAGCCAGCAGUUAGAAAAUAUCCAGAUAAAAAAUAAAUAUCCUAUAAAUCACAUUGGCUACGCCUGUUCUGUUUGAGACCUACAGGGAAGAAAUCUCACCGC
RNAcentral lists this long non-coding RNA (2006 nucleotides) under Salmo salar (Atlantic salmon). RNAcentral describes it as "lncRNA (ENSSSAG00000090402.1)". Lineage: Eukaryota; Metazoa; Chordata; Actinopteri; Salmoniformes; Salmonidae. The record is from RNAcentral.